UGAAUAUGGGGGGACCAUCCUCCAAGGCUAAAUACUCCUGACUGACCGAUAGUGAACCAGUACCGUGAGGGAAAGGCGAAAAGAACCCCGGCGAGGGGAGUGAAAAAGAACCUGAAACCGUGUACGUACAAGCAGUGGGAGCACAGGUUUACCUGUGUGACUGCGUACCUUUUGUAUAAUGGGUCAGCGACUUAUAUUCUGUAGCAAGGUUAACCGUAUAGGGGAGCCGUAGGGAAACCGAGUCUUAACCGGGCGUUAAGUUGCAGGGUAUAGACCCGAAACCCGGUGAUCUAGCCAUGGGCAGGUUGAAGGUUGGGUAACACUAACUGGAGGACCGAACCGACUAAUGUUGAAAAAUUAGCGGAUGACCUGUGGCUGGGGGUGAAAGGCCAAUCAAACCGGGAGAUAGCUGGUUCUCCCCGAAAGCUAUUUAGGUAGCGCCUCGUGAAUUCAUCUCCGGGGGUAGAGCACUGUUUCGGCUAGGGGGCCAUCCCGGCUUACCAACCCGAUGCAAACUGCGAAUACCGGAGAAUGUUAUCACGGGAGACACACGGCGGGUGCUAACGUCCGUCGUGAAGAGGGAAACAACCCAGACCGCCAGCUAAGGUCCCAAAGUCAUGGUUAAGUGGGAAACGAUGUGGGAAGGCCCAGACAGCCAGGAUGUUGGCUUAGAAGCAGCCAUCAUUUAAAGAAAGCGUAAUAGCUCACUGGUCGAGUCGGCCUGCGCGGAAGAUGUAACGGGGCUAAACCAUGCACCGAAGCUGCGGCAGCGAACGUAUCACCCAAGACAACUUUACGGAGUUGACGAUUGACGGAGCGAAGCGACGUCAAAGCGUUCAUUAAAGUCGAGUUGGCUUAGGGAUACGUUCGUUGGGUAGGGGAGCGUUCUGUAAGCCUGUGAAGGUGUGUCGUGAGGCAUGCUGGAGGUAUCAGAAGUGCGAAUGCUGACAUAAGUAACGAUAAAGCGGGUGAAAAGCCCGCUCGCCGGAAGACCAAGGGUUCCUGUCCAACGUUAAUCGGGGCAGGGUGAGUCGACCCCUAAGGCGAGGCCGAAAGGCGUAGUCGAUGGAAACGGGUUAAUAUUCCCGUACUUGGUGUUACUGCGAAGGGGGGACGGAGAAGGCUAUGUUGGCCGGGCGACGGUUGUCCCGGUUUAAGCGUGUAGGUGUGUGUUCCAGGUAAAUCCGGUUCACUUUAACACUGAGGCGUGACGACGAGGCACUACGGUGCUGAAGCAACAAAUGCCCUGCUUCCAGGAAAAGCCUCUAAGCAUCAGGUAACAUCAAAUCGUACCCCAAACCGACACAGGUGGUCAGGUAGAGAAUACCAAGGCGCUUGAGAGAACUCGGGUGAAGGAACUAGGCAAAAUGGUGCCGUAACUUCGGGAGAAGGCACGCUGACACGUAGGUGAAGUGAUUUACUCAUGGAGCUGAAGUCAGUCGAAGAUACCAGCUGGCUGCAACUGUUUAUUAAAACACAGCACUGUGCAAACACGAAAGUGGACGUAUACGGUGUGACGCCUGCCCGGUGCCGGAAGGUUAAUUGAUGGGGUCAGCGCAAGCGAAGCUCCUGAUCGAAGCCCCGGUAAACGGCGGCCGUAACUAUAACGGUCCUAAGGUAGCGAAAUUCCUUGUCGGGUAAGUUCCGACCUGCACGAAUGGCGUAAUGAUGGCCAGGCUGUCUCCACCCGAGACUCAGUGAAAUUGAACUCGCUGUGAAGAUGCAGUGUACCCGCGGCAAGACGGAAAGACCCCGUGAACCUUUACUAUAGCUUGACACUGAACAUUGAGCCUUGAUGUGUAGGAUAGGUGGGAGGCUUUGAAGUGUGGACGCCAGUCUGCAUGGAGCCGACCUUGAAAUACCACCCUUUAAUGUUUGAUGUUCUAACGUGGACCCGUAAUCCGGGUUGCGGACAGUGUCUGGUGGGUAGUUUGACUGGGGCGGUCUCCUCCUAAAGAGUAACGGAGGAGCACGAAGGUUGGCUAAUCCUGGUCGGACAUCAGGAGGUUAGUGCAAUGGCAUAAGCCAGCUUGACUGCGAGCGUGACGGCGCGAGCAGGUGCGAAAGCAGGUCAUAGUGAUCCGGUGGUUCUGAAUGGAAGGCCAUCGCUCAACGGAUAAAAGGUACUCCGGGGAUAACAGGCUGAUACCGCCCAAGAGUUCAUAUC
Molecule: ribosomal RNA, 2167 nt
Filed under: Salmonella enterica subsp. enterica serovar Typhimurium
Lineage: Bacteria; Pseudomonadati; Pseudomonadota; Gammaproteobacteria; Enterobacterales; Enterobacteriaceae
Description: bacterial LSU rRNA
Rfam family: Bacterial large subunit ribosomal RNA
Source: RNAcentral